RNAcentral lists this small RNA (394 nucleotides) under Histoplasma ohiense. RNAcentral's name for it is "hypothetical lncRNA". The record is from RNAcentral. Lineage: Eukaryota; Fungi; Ascomycota; Eurotiomycetes; Onygenales; Ajellomycetaceae.
CAAUGCUCACUGUGCUGUGUGGGAGAUGCACAACCCCCGCCCUCAUAUGAAAAAAGUGGAUAAGCAGAAGACUAUCUGUGAGAUCUGAUAUUAUCAGAAGUCUGAGAAUCUCAUUUUCCUCAAGACUGCAUUUGUCUGUCUUGUCUGAGAGAUUGAUGAAGAAAAGUAUUGCUUCCAGUGUUCUGCUCUUGAUGCUCUUCAAGUCACAGUCAAGACCACAUUGAUCACACUUUUUGAGUGUAUGAUAUCAUGUGAAAAUCAAUGUAACAAUAUCUCACUAAUCAUUUCACAGAUGGCCUUAAGGCCAUGAUUCAUUGUGGAUGAGUGACCCUCACUGUGAGGGAUAUUAGAUUGGUGGUGGAGAUCACCCAAGGAUUGAGUAGUAAUUUUUUUG